Molecule: ribosomal RNA, 139 nt
Filed under: Streptomyces sp. KKPKP6
Lineage: Bacteria; Bacillati; Actinomycetota; Actinomycetes; Kitasatosporales; Streptomycetaceae
Description: partial 16S ribosomal RNA
Rfam family: Bacterial small subunit ribosomal RNA
Source: RNAcentral
GGACAAGCCCUGGAAACGGGGUCUAAUACCGGAUACGAGUUCGGGAGGCAUCUCCCGGACUGGAAAGCUCGGCGGUGAAGAUGAGCCCGCGGCCUAUCAGCUUGUUGGUGGGGUAAUGGCCUACCAAGGCGACGACGGG